AGUUUCUUGUGUACAAUUUAGAGUUUAGUAUGGCGUUCAUUGUCACUGAACUAGUAAUUAUUUGUUUAGGGGCCAGUUGAAGGACGCCUCCGAAUGCGGGAAUUUCUCGCUGCAUUGACGACCUGUUGGUGAUCUUCUGCUGUUGUCUGCUCUAUGAUCGGGUUGUUGUUUCUUUGACACAUUCCCCAUUUCCAUUCUCAAUUUUAUGUAUAUAUUUCUUUUGCAGGUGGCAGUGACAGUGGCAGUGGCAGUGGCAAUGGCACUUUAAGUUUAGAAUACAAUAACUUGACCGUUUAUUUGGGAACAAUAAGAGAAAAGACCAUGACAUUAGCUAUAUCAAAACUUGGCAAGCUGACCAACCAGCUGUGCAAGAAGAAAAUGUUAGAUUCAUCUCUUCAGCUGGACAGCAAUGAUGUUCUUGAAAUAUUUAAAAUUAUUUGAUAUCCGAAUUUAAAGGACAUGUUAAAAUGGUAAAAUAUUAUUACCCGAGGAGCAGAAAUUGUCAAUUGUUAAUUCCAUUACAAAUUAUUUAGAUAAAAGAAAAAAAAAAAAAAUUGAACACUGUGAAUAACUUUUAUAUUGUGUGUUUUUUUUUUUUAAUAAUUACAAGACAGACUGUCAUCGUGAAAGAACUUGGAAUUUUGUAAAUGUAGUGUACAAACGAAAUAUGAUCAACUGGAUAAUUCAUAGCCUGCAUCAAGGAAAUAGGAGGGUGACGCAACAAACUGAAGGAUUCAUACUCUGCAAUCGCAUAAUAGGAGGGUCUGGCAAUACACUGGGGGAGAUUCGUAGACUGUAGCAUUGAUUGAGGAUAGGCG
RNAcentral lists this long non-coding RNA (818 nucleotides) under Mytilus galloprovincialis (Mediterranean mussel). The record is from RNAcentral. Lineage: Eukaryota; Metazoa; Mollusca; Bivalvia; Mytilida; Mytilidae.